This 344-nucleotide ribosomal RNA is filed under the name Salmonella enterica. Its description in RNAcentral is "bacterial SSU rRNA". It matches the Rfam family "Bacterial small subunit ribosomal RNA", at positions 1 to 341 of the family's 1533-position model. The record is from RNAcentral. Lineage: Bacteria; Pseudomonadati; Pseudomonadota; Gammaproteobacteria; Enterobacterales; Enterobacteriaceae.
AAAUUGAAGAGUUUGAUCAUGGCUCAGAUUGAACGCUGGCGGCAGGCCUAACACAUGCAAGUCGAACGGUAACAGGAAGCAGCUUGCUGCUUCGCUGACGAGUGGCGGACGGGUGAGUAAUGUCUGGGAAACUGCCUGAUGGAGGGGGAUAACUACUGGAAACGGUGGCUAAUACCGCAUAACGUCGCAAGACCAAAGAGGGGGACCUUCGGGCCUCUUGCCAUCAGAUGUGCCCAGAUGGGAUUAGCUAGUUGGUGAGGUAACGGCUCACCAAGGCGACGAUCCCUAGCUGGUCUGAGAGGAUGACCAGCCACACUGGAACUGAGACACGGUCCAGACUCCUA